RNAcentral lists this ribosomal RNA (490 nucleotides) under uncultured bacterium. RNAcentral describes it as "partial 16S ribosomal RNA". It matches the Rfam family "Bacterial small subunit ribosomal RNA", at positions 30 to 507 of the family's 1533-position model. The record is from RNAcentral.
AUUGAACGCUGGCGGCAGGCCUAACACAUGCAAGUCGAACGGGAACAGGAGGCAGCUUGCUGCCUUGCUGCCGAGUGGCGGACGUGUGAGUAAUGUCUGGGAAACAGCCUUAUGAAUGGGGUUAACUACUGAAAACGGUACCUAAUACCGCAUAACGAUGCAAGACCAAAGAGGGGGACCUGAGGGCCGCUUUCCAUCGGAUUAUCCCAGAUGGGAUUAGCUAGUAGGUGGGGGGACGGCUCACCUAGGCGACGAUCCCUAGCUGGUCUGAGAGGAUGACCAGCCACCCUGGAACUGAGACUCGGUCCAGACUCCUACGGGAGGCAGCAGUGGGGAAUAUUGCACAAUGGGCGAAAGCCUGAUGGAGCAAUGCCGCGUGUAUGAUGAAGGCCUUCGGGUCGUAAAGUACUGUCAGCGGGGAAGAAGGAAAUUAAGUUAAUCCCUGUACUCCUUGACGUUACCCGCAGAAGAAGCACCGGCUAACUCCGUG